UGGGGAAUAUUGGACAAUGGGCGAAAGCCUGAUCCAGCGACGCCGCGUGGGUGAAGAAGGCCUUCGGGUUGUAAAGCCCUUUAAGCCGGGACGAAAAAAUCGGCGAUAACAUCGCCGGUCUUGACGGUACCGGAAGAAUAAGCACCGGCUAACUCUGUGCCAGCAGCCGCGGUAAUACAGAGGGUGCAAGCGUUAAUCGGAUUUACUGGGCGUAAAGCGUGUGUAGGUGGCUUUAUAAGUCGGUUGUGAAAUCCCUGGGCUCAACCUGGGAAUUGCAGCCGAUACUGUAGAGCUCGAGUUCGGUAGAGGACGGCGGAAUUCUCGGUGUAGCGGUGAAAUGCGUAGAUAUCGAGAGGAACAUCGAUGGCGAAGGCAACCGUCUGGGCCUGAACUGACACUGUGACACGAAAGCGUGGGUAGCAAACAGG
RNAcentral lists this ribosomal RNA (428 nucleotides) under uncultured bacterium. RNAcentral describes it as "bacterial SSU rRNA". It matches the Rfam family "Bacterial small subunit ribosomal RNA", at positions 355 to 776 of the family's 1533-position model. The record is from RNAcentral.